GAUGAACGCUGGCGGCGUGCCUAACACAUGCAAGUCGAGCGUGAAUCUGAUGAGUGGAGACUUCGGUUGAAGCGAGUUGGAGGAAAGCGGCGGACGGGUGAGUAACGCGUGGGCAACCUGCCCCAUACAGCCGGAUAGCCACUGGAAACGGUGAUUAAUACGGCAUAAGACCACGAUACCGCAUGGUAACGCGGUCAAAGAUUUAUCGGUAUGGGAUGGGGCCCGCGUCUGAUUAGCUAGUUGGUGAGGUAACGGCUCACCAAGGCGACGAUCAGUAACCGGCCUGAGAGGGCGAACGGUCACACUGGAACUGAGACACGGUCCAGACUCCUACGGGAGGCAGCAGUGGGGAAUAUUGCACAAUGGGCGCAAGCCUGAUGCAGCAACGCCGCGUGAGUG
RNAcentral lists this ribosomal RNA (399 nucleotides) under uncultured bacterium. RNAcentral's name for it is "bacterial SSU rRNA". It matches the Rfam family "Bacterial small subunit ribosomal RNA", at positions 28 to 407 of the family's 1533-position model. The record is from RNAcentral.